RNAcentral lists this ribosomal RNA (465 nucleotides) under Vreelandella stevensii. RNAcentral describes it as "partial 16S ribosomal RNA". It matches the Rfam family "Bacterial small subunit ribosomal RNA", at positions 338 to 795 of the family's 1533-position model. The record is from RNAcentral. Lineage: Bacteria; Pseudomonadati; Pseudomonadota; Gammaproteobacteria; Oceanospirillales; Halomonadaceae.
CCUACGGGUGGCAGCAGUGGGGAAUAUUGGACAAUGGGCGAAAGCCUGAUCCAGCCAUGCCGCGUGUGUGAAGAAGGCCUUCGGGUUGUAAAGCACUUUCAGUGGGGAAGAAAGCCUUGGGGCUAAUACCCUCGAGGAAGGACAUCACCCACAGAAGAAGCACCGGCUAACUCCGUGCCAGCAGCCGCGGUAAUACGGAGGGUGCGAGCGUUAAUCGGAAUUACUGGGCGUAAAGCGCGCGUAGGCGGUCUGAUAAGCAGGUUGUGAAAGCCCCGGGCUCAACCUGGGAACGGCAUCCGGAACUGUCAGGCUAGAGUGCAGGAGAGGAAGGUAGAAUUCCCGGUGUAGCGGUGAAAUGCGUAGAGAUCGGGAGGAAUACCAGUGGCGAAGGCGGCCUUCUGGACUGACACUGACGCUGAGGUGCGAAAGCGUGGGUAGCAAACAGGAUUAGAUACCCCAGUAGUC